GUUGUACAGAAUGCUGGUGCGGCUCUGGUCAGGGGACUUGGUGAGCAAUUUGGUCUGGGGAGGGGCGUCUUUAGGGGGAUCGAGCAUGGUGUCGAAGAUCUUAGACCUAGCUUCCCACAGAGCGUUGGUGACAGGGGAAUGGUACAUUCCAGGCCAGAGAGCGAUGGGUUUGCGGGCGGAAGCGGAGCCGCCGCCGCCAUUGGAGGUGUCGAAAGGAUUGGC
RNAcentral lists this long non-coding RNA (222 nucleotides) under Linum usitatissimum (flax). Its description in RNAcentral is "long non-coding RNA (LUSI_LNC000255)". Lineage: Eukaryota; Viridiplantae; Streptophyta; Magnoliopsida; Malpighiales; Linaceae. The record is from RNAcentral.